Molecule: ribosomal RNA, 750 nt
Filed under: uncultured haloarchaeon
Lineage: Archaea; Methanobacteriati; Methanobacteriota; Halobacteria; Halobacteriales; Halobacteriaceae
Description: bacterial SSU rRNA
Rfam family: Archaeal small subunit ribosomal RNA
Source: RNAcentral
AACUACCCUCUGGACGCGGAUAACCUCGGGAAACUGAGGGCUAAUCCGUGAUAGUAUUCGGUGCCUGGAGUGGCACGAAUAUGAAAUGCUCCGGCGCCAGAGGAUGUGGCUGCGGCCGAUUAGGUAGACGGUGGGGUAACGGCCCACCGUGCCAGUAAUCGGUACGGGUUGUGAGAGCAAGAGCCCGGAGACGGUAUCUGAGACAAGAUACCGGGCCCUACGGGGCGCAGCAGGCGCGAAACCUUUACACUGCACGCCAGUGCGAUAAGGGGACUCCGAGUGCGAGGGCAUAUAGUCCUCGCUUUUCUGUACCGUAAGGUGGUACAGGAAUAAGUGCUGGGCAAGACCGGUGCCAGCCGCCGCGGUAAUACCGGCAGCACGAGUGAUGACCGCUAUUAUUGGGCCUAAAGCGUCCGUAGCUGGCCGUGCAAGUCCAUCGGGAAAUCCGCGUGCUUAACACGCGGACGUCCGGUGGAAACUGUUCGGCUUGGGACCGGAAGACCUAGGGGGUACGUCUGGGGUAGGAGUGAAAUCCCGUAAUCCUGGACGGACCACCGGUGGCGAAAGCGCCCUAGGAAGACGGAUCCGACGGUGAGGGACGAAAGCUCGGGUCACGAACCGGAUUAGAUACCCGGGUAGUCCGAGCAGUAAACGAUGUCUGCUAGGUGUGACACAGGCUACGAGCCUGUGUUGUGCCGUAGGGAAGCCGUGAAGCAGACCGCCUGGGAAGUACGUCCGCAAGGAGUAACU